This 320-nucleotide ribosomal RNA is filed under the name uncultured bacterium. RNAcentral describes it as "bacterial SSU rRNA". It matches the Rfam family "Bacterial small subunit ribosomal RNA", at positions 46 to 334 of the family's 1533-position model. The record is from RNAcentral.
GAUGAACGCUACGCGGACGAGGCUUAACACAUGCAAGUCGAGGGGCAGCGGAGGUUGUAGCUUGGCUAUAACUGCCGGCGACCGGCGCACGGGUGAGUAACACGUAUGCAACCUGCCCGUUGCAGGGGGAUAAGCGGAAGAAAUUCCGUCUAAUACCGCGUAAUAUACUUUAGGGGCAUCCUUUUAGUAUUAAAGAUUUAUCGGCAACGGAUGAGCAUGCGGCGCAUUAGCUAGUUGGUGAGGUAACGGCUCACCAAGGCAACGAUGCGUAGGGGUUCUGAGAGGAAGGUCCCCCACACUGGUACUGAGACACGGACCAG